GUGGAUAUGGCUCAGUUGGUAGAGUACUUGCCUUGUUUGCACAAGGCCCUGGGUUUAAUCCCCAGCACCACA
This 72-nucleotide transfer RNA is filed under the name Marmota monax (woodchuck). It matches the Rfam family "tRNA". From Rfam's summary of the family: Transfer RNA (tRNA) molecules are approximately 80 nucleotides in length. The record is from Rfam by way of RNAcentral. Lineage: Eukaryota; Metazoa; Chordata; Mammalia; Rodentia; Sciuridae.